AUUUAAUUAAAGAAUAAAAAUAUAUCCCCAUCAGAUCGACCCUAUUGAUCUAAUUAAACCUCUAAGCCAGUUUUGUCUGAUACAUAGAU
Sciurus vulgaris (Eurasian red squirrel) is the source of this 89-nucleotide small nucleolar RNA. Lineage: Eukaryota; Metazoa; Chordata; Mammalia; Rodentia; Sciuridae. The record is from Ensembl.